RNAcentral lists this transfer RNA (74 nucleotides) under Bacteroidales bacterium. Its description in RNAcentral is "tRNA-His". It matches the Rfam family "tRNA". From Rfam's summary of the family: Transfer RNA (tRNA) molecules are approximately 80 nucleotides in length. Their secondary structure includes four short double-helical elements and three loops (D, anti-codon, and T loops). RNAcentral also lists the same sequence under 1 other name. Lineage: Bacteria; Pseudomonadati; Bacteroidota; Bacteroidia; Bacteroidales. The record is from RNAcentral.
GCCGAAGUAGCUCAGUUGGUUAGAGCAUCGGAUUGUGGAUCCGAGGGUCAUAGGUUCGAAACCUAUCUUCGGUA